UAUGGUGUGUGACUGAAAUGCAACCUUAACACAAAGUAAAUGACUGAUUCUUUCACCCCAGUACUGCUUUCAUGCUUUGCCAACUGUGAUUUUGGGAGUGCUUUCCACCUGCAAAUACCAGAACAAGUAGGCCUUCACCAGAAGAGGAAAGUGCUGUUUUUCAGAGAAAUACUGCACCAAAGCAAACCUCAGAGCAGUGGGAAGGGCAGUUUGCCCUCUGUGCAUGUACUGCACCAGGCACGGGCUCAGGAAGAAGGGGCAGUAACUGUGACAGCACAGCCAGUGGUACUGCUCUGCCCCUUGCUCAGGAGCAGUGCCCAUGACAGACAGCACUCUUCCUUUCGUCAGGAGUAUCAGCGACAACCUGCAGUGCUUCUGGGCAGGAACGCGUAACACCUCUUGCAUGGGUAGUGACCACUGUAGCCAAGGAGAGUCAAAAAUGCCACGGCAUGGUGUGGUGUGAGUCACUGCUGGCCUGGGGGAGGUCGGACCUGGCCUAGGGAAGAGGAUCAGGAGCCCAGAUCCCAGAGGGUGGAAAUGGGCAAACCGGCCAGGAACGAAAAUGCUCCCUCUGGAGAGCUGGGGACCAGCUCUAGCAGGGCGCUGUCCUGGGACUCAGGGCUUGCCCUGCUACCUAUGACGUGCUGCAAGCCCAGCCACACUGCCUCUCCUCCUGCCCCAUGGGAUAACCUGGUAGCAUCAGAGGCUCCCCAGGGGCUCAGGGAGCCGAGCACUUGGACAGGACAGAAGUCUCGUGUUAAGUGUCACAAGCUCAGCUGUGGUAUGCUAGUGAAGAAAUCCCUUCAUCUUUACAAUUCUUCUAAUUUCACUAUAGGAGUAGGCAAACACCCCGCAAAAGAAAAAAAAAAAAAGACAUUUAGACAGCACAGUGUUUUUCUGUAUCACACUGUGCCGCCCUCUCCUACACUUACUACAACAUGACUUAAAGCUUCCCCAUGUAAAAAACAAACCGCUGCAUUUUGUGCCUUAAUUCUUCUAGUGUGACGUGUUUCACCUUGCUAACAGGCAUGACCCUAUGAUUUUAAGAUCUAGCCACCGUAAACUUAAACACAUACACAUGGAUGUAGAUGCUCUCUCCCCGCAAGGCACACGGUCUAAUUAAAACAGACAACAAAGUCUCAGUCAAUUUUUAAAGCAGUUGGAUUCCAAUGAAAACAAGACCAACCCUGAAGCCCAGCACUAACAAUUUUCCUUUUGAGUGGGACUGUUUUCUCUCUCAGGCAUAAAACCCCUCAUUCAGGCUCUGCACAUUCGUUAGAAGCCCAAGUACAACCGGCCCAGUGUAGUCAAGGCAAUGCUCUGCUGUUUGGUGCGGUGGCACCAAGGGUGUGUAGGAAUACUUUUACCAGGGCGGCUUGCACACAGAGGGAAAAAACAAGCUCAAUGUAACCCUAAAUAAGAUGUGCCUAAGCUGACUGAAAUCUCCAGCAGGGGCUGCAUGGGUUUCAGUUCUCUAGAAAUGGGAGGAGGCAGAGAGGGAGAAAGACUGGUAUAGCCUCAUACUUGGUGAAUACAGACAUGAGCCAGAACGGUUAGUGACAGCCUCCUAGAAUGUAGGGAGAGGCUCAGGAUUCCUGAAAGAUAACAGAAAAGCAAAUUAAGGUGGUAGAGAUCUUUUUCCACAAAGGAAAUAUUUUCUUUAUGCUCUCAGAUUCAUUGAUGUUGCUUACAAUGAAGAUACGAUCUGUUAGAACAACCAACAACUGAAACUGAAAAUACUCGCAGCACUUUAACAACGAACUUUAUUUUGCAUUAUGCUAGCUGUGGGAGCCAGCGAGCUGCUCUAUAAAUAAGCAACUACUGUAAACUAUGAAGCUAAUGUUCAACCUACAUACUCUGACCAGUAGUAAGUUCACUGAUAAAAGAUAGAUGUGGCUGUUUAUAGGUGAGCACAAUUUGCCCAUUAAGCUUUAGAAAAAUAGCCACACCCAAAUAGUCCGAGGAACCUUUGAAGCUCAGUCUUGUGGGGAACACGUGCUUUUAUAGCCUGAGUUGUGCGCUGGACUUUUCUCAGAAAUUUACGGCAGUACUAAGGUCAGGAUCAAUAUCUGUGCUGUAACGACUGUUUCUCUGUACUUAAGCACGAAUUUGGUUCAUUUCAGGCUUUCCCUCUAUUUCUGGUUCCAAAACUAGAUCAUAAAUAAAAUUUCUUAUUUUAACUGAAUCCUCUCUCAGGGAUUAUUUCCAGUUUCUGCUGUAUUGACUCGCUCUCUGCUGGGAACUAAGUGGCUUUUCAGCUUUAUUUCAGCAUCCUGAUGAUAAAAGCUCUCCACAGCAUCAUUCUGGUCGUAAUGAAUGUUCAUGUAGGAAUCCAGGCUCUCUAAACUCUUUCCUCAGCACAGAAUAAUUAUGCAGUGUGAAGUGCCGUCAUUAUUUAGAUUACAUGAUUUCUCAAGGGAAGCUUGCAUGACAAAAUGUACCAUUCAGAUCAUAUAACCCCGAAACAUGAAGAAACUAUAGCAUGAGAAUGGCUAGCUAUUUUUAAAUACAUAAAAUUGCUGUGAGAACGCACAAUCACCAAGUGUCUCACUUAAUAGCUCCAUUCCUGGAAUAAACUCUACUGGAAUCUCCAGCAAUGUGCUUGGCAGGGAGCACGCAGCAUGUCAAAAGCGAACCACUCAAAGAAUGCGACCGGCGAUGCACGGCAGCCACAGCCUGUCAUCUCACUGCAGAUGGCUGCGUUUUCACACAAUGCACACAGGAAGAAAUCUUUAAUUCAGACACAACUGCUAACUCAGAGAAAGGUGAUGACGUGGUACCAGCAUUCCCUUAUGAGAACUGAGCAAAUGGUUGAGGCAGCUGAAAAUGCAACUGCUCAGGGCUCUCCCUGCCUCACUGCCAGGCUGAGGCUGCCUGCUGCAAUCAGCACGAAGACCGCCUGCUUCUCCACUGCUCCCACCCGCCGGCUGUAGCACUGGCUGCGACUGCUGGUGCAGACAUUCCUAAGAGCAUCCAAAACAACGUUUUUGGGGAGCUCGCAGUAGUGACAUCCACAUACCAGUCCUUCUGCGGAAUAAAGCCAGCGUGAUUUUGGCAUUUUGAUACAGGCAUCCCCUCUCAUCCCCACAAGCUGGCAGGUUUGUGGUGCUUCUAAGAGGCCCCUGCAGCAUCCUCCCAGCUGCAGUCACCAACAGGCUCCUCGUGCAUCUCCAGCCGCCACCGUGCUCCCAGACGCCCUUUUCUGUGACUUAAUCUUGGACGACUAUCAAAGAAAACUCAGAAAGCUUCCAAACCAUGUAGGCUCAUAGCCAAAUGCACAAUUUAAAUGUGACUGCCCUAGGGCCUGCCCAUCAGUUGCAUCUAAAUACGGUAGAGACCAGACACUGAAAGAAAAGCCUGGCACACAACGUGCUCUCUGGGGGUACAGCUAAAGGGCAGGCAGCACCACCUACACAUCUGCGAGGGCCCCAGCACAGAUACUGAAGUUCCUCAAAACCUGGUACGUGUCUUUGAAGCUGUGCUUGUGGAAGGCUGAAAGUGGCACAAGUGUGAACAAUGGAGAACCUGAAUACUCGGAGAUGAUUCCUGGGUGCAAAACAUUUCAGAAAGGCUUGACGUGCGGCUUGCUGAUGACCGCAGAGAGACAGAAAAAGAGAGGCACAUAUACAGAGAACUGCCUCCAGCCUGAAACCCAGAUCAUCAGUUACAGCAGCAGUCUGAGGAGACACCACACAGCCCUCUAUAUUAUAUAGAGCACAGGAUUUUUGCUCAGCAAUACCAAAGUCCCACAGCAAGCCUCGGUGAAAUCGGGGCAUGGCAGAUGAAGGGAUCCCAAAAGAUCCACCAGGUAGGAAGGAAGAGCAUCCCAGAAAGUUAAGAAAAACUAGGAGUAUGAACUGAAGGCAUAAAAACAGAGCAUUUUCAACGCUUUUAUGAACACUCAGGUACACAGUAGUGUGAAUUACAUUACAAUGAAGGCUUUAAUCAGACUAACUACUAUUUUGGGUGUUUUAAGUUAUCAAAUUGAAAUCACUAGUUCGCUGAGUGCAGACAAAUCCUCUGAUUGCUUUUAAGGCAUUUUCUUACCUUAUGUAUUUCUUUGAGGGUUUCCUCAAUCAUUUUUAUACUGAAUAUGGGAAUAUUGCAGUCCGUACUGUUUGCUGGCUGUACUUUAAGAGGAUGGUGGAUCUGGGGGGGUGGGGGGAAGGAGGAGGAGAGAAUUUUAUGCUCUCAGCUGCUCCACAAUUGCAUAAACUUUGCCAGCGUGAACCUCCUGGGAGAGCUGUACUAUAGGCGUUAUGACUCAGCCCUGCUCUGGAUGAAGUCACUGUCAAGUGGAAGCAAACUAUUUGUUUCUAACAACAUAUAUGGUGAACUCCAAAUUCAAGUUCAAGACAAAGCUGUCGUUAUUUCUCCCACCCACUUUGCUAUUGUUUUGUUCAGUUCAGAUUGCAAAGGAGCUCACAAUUUAAGUGAGCGCCAGAAAGAAAGCAAACCAACUGACAUCACCAUGUGAGCAAAAGAAGUUCCCUGCUCUCAUGGACUACAACCCAAAGAUUUUUUUUCCCCUGAAUCAUUGAGAUUUGUAACUAUCAUACAGAUAUUGUUUCCAGGGUUGGAGGAUUACAAUAUGCUAUAUAAUGCCCCCCCUUCCCCCUUUAUUAAUCCAUUUUUAAAUAAUGGAUUUAAAAAUAGAAUCCCCUUUAACUACAUAGUAACAUGUGACAACUGAGACCUUUGCAUCUCUUAUUUAUGCUGUGUUUUGCUUAAAGGAAGCAGUGCUGCUCCUUGCCUGUUAGCAAGCACCUUGUCUGGCACAUCUGCAGCCACCCCACAUAAUCACAGAAGCAGAGUCCAUGCUGUCAACACCAGAGAGGAGGCACAAAGCACUCUUUUUUUUUUAAACAGUUAACCCUGAAGACAAUCCUGACAUAGAUCAUUUAAAGCACAUGUGCCGUCUUUGAAACUGCAUCUAAAUUAGGACUGGCAAUUCAUGCAAUGGUUUCAAAUGCUACAAAUUUGUCUUGGAUAACAGAGUGGGAAAGAGGACGAGCAGAGAGCUGCCGGUGCCCCGCAGAGUGCAAUUUAGAGGGGCUUUAAGUAGCCUCUGUGAGUCAGGGACUUGGUGAUGUUCUAGCACAGCAGCAAUAGGCUGCUCCUAUCAAGGAGAUUUACGAAAACAUUUUCAUUUAUAAUCACCACUGAAACAUCCUGGUAGGACUGAAUCAUAUACCAAAAUAUAGACCUGUUCUUGCUUGGAGAUAGGCUUAAGCACAUGAUUCAAUCCAUCCUUAAUCACAACGCUGGAGUUGCCAGUCCCAACUGGAGGCUGGCAGAAACAAUGUCAGUUAAUCCCCGCCUCACAAAACCUGUCAUCGCUCACUUAUCUUGUUCCGUUGGGGUGGCCGGAAUAAGAGGCCUGCUAGAAAUGCCUGAUUGUUCUCUAAGGGACUCAUGCCUAUUUUGGAGAGACCAAAUUUAUAAAAGCAAAAUGAAAAAUGAGAAGUAGAAAAGUGAGAGGUUUUCAUUUAAAAACUUCUCUGUUUGUCAAGCAACCAGUUUCCAGUAAAGUAACCUUUACAAAUUUAGCACUUUUUCUUUCUAAACACUCUUGUCUUAGCAAAAAGAAAAAAUUCUGGGAGGAAAAAUCCCCCUCCCAAAGUACAGAUUAUAAUCUUCUUCACCACCAGUAACAAAUUUUCUCACUUUAUGCUUUAUCUUUAAUGCAAUGCUAAUGGUAACAAUUUCUCGCUUGGGCUAUUACACACCAGCUGGCAGAAGCACAGCACGAUGCACCCACUGGCUAAAGAAAAUCUUCACUUUCGCAUGUUAAACCUGAAGUCACAUGGUCUUAUAAUAAUCCACUGAGCAAGCAUGAGACAUUCAUCCUCAAAAUCCCACAGAAACCCUACAGUGAUUUGCUUAUCUUACACUUUAAUCUAUUAUAGAAAUUCAUCUCUACACUUUUAGUAUUCGUAUUCAAAGGGCACUGAAAACCAGCACUUAACUGUGGGGUUAUAGCACGGACCAAAACGCACCCAGCGCUAAAGGCAACAAGGAGCUGAAAUUUGAUUUCCACAGAUGAAUGAUCAAUCACUUUUUGGACCAGGUUUCUACCCCAAUACCCACAGUUUUCUCCAUAUAAUCUGCCCCAACUUAGAUAAAAGCAGACUGUUAGUUUAUGUAUGUUACUGGAGGCAUCAUUACCUGGCAGUAACUUUGUUUUGUGAACAUGCACGUGAUGGGCAAAGGCCUGGCCAAUGAAGUUGCAGCCGAAUUUACAAAAUAGACUAAAAGCACAGUUGGUUUAUUUUGUCCUAUUUCUCCGUUUCCCUUGCUGUGCUGAGAAAAUAUACAUCACUGAAUCAGUUCUUACAAAGGACUGAAAACUGUACAGUAGCCCUAGGUUGGGUGUCAGCCCUUAGCCGGGUUUCUCUUUGGGAACGUCACGCACACAGCUUGGUAGAGAGUUCCGGAACUGAACUUCUGCUUCGUAAACCUAUGUUCAAAAACUGGCACCUCAGAAGGCAAAAACUGUCCUGUUGUCACUCCUUCCCAUCAUCCAGAACCACUGUUUUCUUGUGAUACCCUGCCCGGCACUACAAUACAGGCAGGGAGGGUGACCUGCCCUGUGCCCCUCUCCUGUUCCCAGCCCCACAGCUCGGGGCAGCAGGGACGGAGCUUCACCACUGCCAGCCUCAGCGCCUCAGCAGUCUCGUUCCCAAGGGUUUGAGGAAGAAACGUGCCAGAAAGCAGCAUGGGGAGCCAGCCCCAUCCUGCCACACCACUCAGCACAGUGCAGGACCAAACAGGCCCUGCGUGGACCUCCCUUCGACUCCAUGAAUGUCAACAGAGAUGUAAAGGUCUGUGCAAGCAGCUCCCAGCACAAGACAAAAAUUAUAACUUAAAAUCACAAAAAUUAUAGCAUAAGUCACAGUUGUCCAGGUCAGGCCACAGACAUGACCCCAUAAGACUUCCCUGAGUAACAAUGUCUGAAAAACACAACUUGACUUCUGAAUACAGCAGCAAGCCAUGGAACUUCUGAGCUGACCAGAAACAUUUACCAUAGUUUUCAGCAUCAACUCCAACUGAAACCAAAAGUCACACCAGGCUCAGGCAGCCCACAGCUGGAAAUAGAAGAGCAGUCACAUUUCUUGUCACGUACGGCUCGCUAAGGGUAAGUGUGUGAGUGCGCUGGGCUGAGCAGGCCCGAGCCACCCUACAGCAUCAGGACCACACAGCCCCAACAGCAGCUCCUCCGCAGCCUCCUGGGCCUACCCGAAGAAGUCCCGCACUGUCACAGUGCCACGUGCACAUGGGGAUGGCUCAGGGGGUUGGCACUAUUUCCUCAUGACCUGCAGCUGCACCUCUUCACCCAGAGCCACAGCUGGCUGCCAGCAAUAGCAGCAGCACGAGGGAGCAGCGUACCGGGACGUCGGAACUUGGCUCCUGCCUCCAUUCGCUGGUAUAACCAGGGUAUAACUGAGGGCAGACAAUAACCCUACUGCAAAUACUCAAAUUUCAUAAUGACUCGUAUGAUGGAAAUGUUACUCAAGUCCAAUUUUGAUUAUCUUACUUCAUACAUAAAAAUAAAAACAUAUACAGACACACACAACAUUUCUCCCCACAGCACCUUGGCUCUUUUCCAAGAUCAUUUUAAACAACCUGCAAAUACUAAUAAAAAGUAACUAAAA
Cygnus olor (mute swan) is the source of this 7655-nucleotide long non-coding RNA. RefSeq lists it as uncharacterized. Lineage: Eukaryota; Metazoa; Chordata; Aves; Anseriformes; Anatidae. The transcript has 3 exons. The record is from RefSeq and is a predicted model, not a curated record.